This 225-nucleotide small RNA is filed under the name Marmota monax (woodchuck). The record is from RNAcentral. Lineage: Eukaryota; Metazoa; Chordata; Mammalia; Rodentia; Sciuridae.
GCUGGGCUUGGUGGCCCACUCCUGUAAUCCCAGCUACUUGGGAGGCUCAAGUGGCUGGAGGAUCAUUUGAAUUUAGGAGUUUUAGUCCAGCCUGGCAACGUUUAAAACAAAUUUUUUUCCGAACUCUCUUGGCCCAUGCCUGUAAUCCCAGCAAUUUGAGAAGCUGAGGCAGGAGGAUUGCAAGUUCAAGACCAGCCUCAGCAACUUAGCAAGAUCCUGUCUCAA